RNAcentral lists this ribosomal RNA (1363 nucleotides) under Staphylococcus aureus. RNAcentral describes it as "bacterial SSU rRNA". It matches the Rfam family "Bacterial small subunit ribosomal RNA", at positions 31 to 1375 of the family's 1533-position model. The record is from RNAcentral. Lineage: Bacteria; Bacillati; Bacillota; Bacilli; Caryophanales; Staphylococcaceae.
GAACGCUGGCGGCGUGCCUAAUACAUGCAAGUCGAGCGAACGGACGAGAAGCUUGCUUCUCUGAUGUUAGCGGCGGACGGGUGAGUAACACGUGGAUAACCUACCUAUAAGACUGGGAUAACUUCGGGAAACCGGAGCUAAUACCGGAUAAUAUUUUGAACCGCAUGGUUCAAAAGUGAAAGACGGUCUUGCUGUCACUUAUAGAUGGAUCCGCGCUGCAUUAGCUAGUUGGUAAGGUAACGGCUUACCAAGGCAACGAUGCAUAGCCGACCUGAGAGGGUGAUCGGCCACACUGGAACUGAGACACGGUCCAGACUCCUACGGGAGGCAGCAGUAGGGAAUCUUCCGCAAUGGGCGAAAGCCUGACGGAGCAACGCCGCGUGAGUGAUGAAGGUCUUCGGAUCGUAAAACUCUGUUAUUAGGGAAGAACAUAUGUGUAAGUAACUGUGCACAUCUUGACGGUACCUAAUCAGAAAGCCACGGCUAACUACGUGCCAGCAGCCGCGGUAAUACGUAGGUGGCAAGCGUUAUCCGGAAUUAUUGGGCGUAAAGCGCGCGUAGGCGGUUUUUUAAGUCUGAUGUGAAAGCCCACGGCUCAACCGUGGAGGGUCAUUGGAAACUGGAAAACUUGAGUGCAGAAGAGGAAAGUGGAAUUCCAUGUGUAGCGGUGAAAUGCGCAGAGAUAUGGAGGAACACCAGUGGCGAAGGCGACUUUCUGGUCUGUAACUGACGCUGAUGUGCGAAAGCGUGGGGAUCAAACAGGAUUAGAUACCCUGGUAGUCCACGCCGUAAACGAUGAGUGCUAAGUGUUAGGGGGUUUCCGCCCCUUAGUGCUGCAGCUAACGCAUUAAGCACUCCGCCUGGGGAGUACGACCGCAAGGUUGAAACUCAAAGGAAUUGACGGGGACCCGCACAAGCGGUGGAGCAUGUGGUUUAAUUCGAAGCAACGCGAAGAACCUUACCAAAUCUUGACAUCCUUUGACAACUCUAGAGAUAGAGCUUUCCCCUUCGGGGGACAAAGUGACAGGUGGUGCAUGGUUGUCGUCAGCUCGUGUCGUGAGAUGUUGGGUUAAGUCCCGCAACGAGCGCAACCCUUAAGCUUAGUUGCCAUCAUUAAGUUGGGCACUCUAAGUUGACUGCCGGUGACAAACCGGAGGAAGGUGGGGAUGACGUCAAAUCAUCAUGCCCCUUAUGAUUUGGGCUACACACGUGCUACAAUGGACAAUACAAAGGGCAGCGAAACCGCGAGGUCAAGCAAAUCCCAUAAAGUUGUUCUCAGUUCGGAUUGUAGUCUGCAACUCGACUACAUGAAGCUGGAAUCGCUAGUAAUCGUAGAUCAGCAUGCUACGGUGAAUACGUUCCC